CGCUACGCACAGCUCAGUAGCACGUGGCUAACCUGCCUUGGGACGGAAGAACCCCCGGGAAACUGGGGCUAAUUUCCGAUAGGUGAUGAUACCUGGAAUGGUUUUUUGCUCAAAGGACGCUUAGGGCAUGCUUCUAGGCGUUGCCCAAGGAUGGGGCCGCGGCCGAUCAGGUUGUUGGUGAGGUAACGGCUCACCAAGCCUUUAACCGGUGCGGGCCGUGGGAGCGGAAGCCCGGAGAUGGGCACUGAGACAAGGGCCCAGGCCCUACGGGGCGCAGCAGUCGCGAAAAUUUCGCAAUAAGCGAAAGCUUGACGGAGUUAUCCCGAGUGCCAUCCGCUGAGGAUGGCUUUUCCCUAGUAUAGAUAGCUGGGGGAAUAAGGAGAGGGCAAGUCUGGUGUCAGCCGCCGCGGUAAUACCAGCUCUCCGAGUGGUGGGGAUGAUUAUUGGGCCUAAAGCAUCCGUAGCCGGCUGGGCAAGUCCCCUGUUAAACCCAACGAUUUAAUCGUUGGUCUGCGGGGGAUACUGCUUGGCUAGGGGGCGAGAGAGCCCGUCGGUAUUCCCGGGGUAGGGGUGAAAUCCUAUAAUCCCGGGAGGACCACCAGUGGCGAAGGCUGUCGGCUAGAACGCGCCCGACGGUGAGGGAUGAAAGCUGGGGGAGCGAACCGGAUUAGAUACCCGGGUAGUCCCAGCUGUAAACGAUGCAGGCUAGGUGUUAGGGCGACCACGUGCCGCUCUAGUGCCGCAGGGAAGCUGUUAAGCCUGCCGCCUGGGAGUACGGCUGGAAGGCUGAACUAAAGGCCC
RNAcentral lists this ribosomal RNA (801 nucleotides) under uncultured soil archaeon. Its description in RNAcentral is "bacterial SSU rRNA". It matches the Rfam family "Archaeal small subunit ribosomal RNA", at positions 77 to 865 of the family's 1478-position model. The record is from RNAcentral.